Molecule: ribosomal RNA, 509 nt
Filed under: Sclerodermus sp. 5 YJ-2014
Lineage: Eukaryota; Metazoa; Arthropoda; Insecta; Hymenoptera; Bethylidae
Description: partial 12S ribosomal RNA
Source: RNAcentral
GAAAAUGACGGGCAAUUUGUACAUAUUAUUAUAAAUCAAAUUAAAAAUUUAUUUAAUUUUACUAUUAAAUCCAAUUUCAAUUAAAUAUUAAAUUUAAUAUUUCAAUAAUCUAAUUAAUUGUAACUCACUUAAUCUAAUCAAUAUCUACAUUUUGAUUUGAAUUAUUAUAAAUAAUAUUAUAUUCUAAUUAUACAUUUUAAUAUAAUUUAAAACAACAAUACAUAAAACCUAAUUAGUUCUUCCAUUCGUGGAUUAUCAAUUAAUAAACAAGUUCCUCUAAUUAAACCUUAAUACCGCCAAAUUUAAUAAUUUUAAAUUUAUUAAAUUUAUUUAUUAAAUUAUUUGUUUAAUUUAAAUUAAUAGGGUAUCUAAUCCUACUCAUUUUAUUUAACUUACUUAUAUUAAUUUACACUUAAAAUAACAAAAAAUAUUUAAAUUUCACCAUAAUAUUUCUCACUAAAUAAAAUUUUAUAUAUUUAAAUUCAAUUAUUUUAAUUAAUUUUUAUUUA